Molecule: signal recognition particle RNA, 96 nt
Filed under: Parvularcula bermudensis HTCC2503
Lineage: Bacteria; Pseudomonadati; Pseudomonadota; Alphaproteobacteria; Parvularculales; Parvularculaceae
Description: Bacterial small signal recognition particle RNA
Rfam family: Bacterial small signal recognition particle RNA
About the family: The signal recognition particle (SRP) is a universally conserved ribonucleoprotein involved in the co-translational targeting of proteins to membranes.
Source: Rfam by way of RNAcentral
GGAGGGUCGCGCGGACGGGCGCCUCGCCAACCCGGUCAGGUCCGGAAGGAAGCAGCCGUAACGAGUUUCCGUCCCGGGUCGCGUUGGCUCUCCACC